This 168-nucleotide small RNA is filed under the name Pongo abelii (Sumatran orangutan). RNAcentral describes it as "retained intron". The record is from RNAcentral. Lineage: Eukaryota; Metazoa; Chordata; Mammalia; Primates; Hominidae.
CUCCUUGCUUUCUCCCUUUGCCAGAAUUUGAUCAACUCUUCAAACUAAACAUCAACCGAAACCACCGGGGCUUCAAGAGGGUGAUCCAGAGCAAAGGCAUCAAGUUUGAGAUCUUCCACAAAGGGUCCUUCUUCAGAAGCGACAAGCUGGUUGGCACAGCACACCUGA